GUCUACGGCCAUACCACCCUGACCGCACCCGAUCUCAUCUGACCCUGGAAGCUAAGCAGGGUCGGGCCUGGUUAGUACUUGGAUGGGAGAAAAGCCAGAUCGAUGACA
This 108-nucleotide ribosomal RNA is filed under the name Microtus ochrogaster (prairie vole). Lineage: Eukaryota; Metazoa; Chordata; Mammalia; Rodentia; Cricetidae. The record is from RNAcentral.